Molecule: ribosomal RNA, 253 nt
Filed under: uncultured bacterium
Lineage: Bacteria
Description: partial 16S ribosomal RNA
Rfam family: Bacterial small subunit ribosomal RNA
Source: RNAcentral
UACGGAGGGAGCUAGCGUUGUUCGGAAUUACUGGGCGUAAAGCGCACGUAGGCGGUUUUUUAAGUCAGAGGUGAAAGCCCGGGGCUCAACCCCGGAAUAGCCUUUGAAACUGGAAAACUUGAAUCUUGGAGAGGUCAGUGGAAUUCCGAGUGUAGAGGUGAAAUUCGUAGAUAUUCGGAAGAACACCAGUGGCGAAGGCGACUGACUGGACAGGUAUUGACGCUGAGGCGCGAAAGCGUGGGGAGCAAACAGG